GAUGAACGCUAGCGGCAGGCUUAACACAUGCAAGUCGAGGGGCAGCGGGGUCUUCGGACCGCCGGCGACCGGCGCACGGGUGCGUAACGCGUAUGCAACCUACCCAUAACAGAGGGAUAAUCCGGAGAAAUCUGGUCUAAUACCUCAUAACACUUAGAGUGGCAUCACUUAGAGUUGAAAUUUUCGGAGGUUAUGGAUGGGCAUGCGUGACAUUAGCUAGUUGGUAAGGUAACGGCUUACCAAGGCAACGAUGUCUAGGGGGACUGAGAGGUUAACCCCCCACACUGGUACUGAGACACGGACCAGACUCCUACGGGAGGCAGCAGUGAGGAAUAUUGGUCAAUGGACGGAAGUCUGAACCAGCCAUGCCGCGUGCAGGAUGACGGCUCUACGAGUUGUAAACUGCUUUUAUACGAGGGUAAAGUUCGGUACGUGUACCGUUUUGAAAGUAUCGUAUGAAUAAGGAUCGGCUAACUCCGUGCCAGCCGCCGCAGUAAAAC
RNAcentral lists this ribosomal RNA (500 nucleotides) under uncultured bacterium. RNAcentral describes it as "bacterial SSU rRNA". It matches the Rfam family "Bacterial small subunit ribosomal RNA", at positions 28 to 526 of the family's 1533-position model. The record is from RNAcentral.